UGGGAUCCAAUGUGAAAUGCC
Non-coding RNA from Caenorhabditis elegans, 21 nucleotides. NCBI's taxonomy places the organism in Eukaryota, Metazoa, Nematoda, Chromadorea, Rhabditida, Rhabditidae. The record is from Ensembl.